RNAcentral lists this ribosomal RNA (406 nucleotides) under uncultured bacterium. RNAcentral's name for it is "partial 16S ribosomal RNA". It matches the Rfam family "Bacterial small subunit ribosomal RNA", at positions 30 to 526 of the family's 1533-position model. The record is from RNAcentral.
AUUGAACGCUGGCGGCAGGCCUAACACAUGCAAGUCGAACGAGUGGCGGACGGGUGAGUAAUGUCUGGGAAACUGCCUGAUGGAGGGGGAUAACGUCCGGAAACGGUAGCUCAUACCGCAUACCAUCGGAUGUGCCCAGAUGGGAUUAGCUAGUAGGUGGGGUAAAGGCUCACCUAGGCGACGAUCCCUAGCUGGUCUGAGAGGAUGACCAGCCAAACGGGAACUGAGACACGGUCCAGACUCCUACGGGAGGCAGCAGUGGGGAAUAUUGCACAAGGGGCGCAAGCCUGCUGCAGCCAUGCCGCGUGUAUGAAGAAGGCCUUCGGGUUGUAAAGUACUUUCAGCGGGGAGGCGUUACCCGCAGAAGAAGCACCGGCUAACUCCGUGCCAGCAGCCGCGGUAAUAC